CCUACGGGAGGCUGCAGUGGGGAAUAUUGGGCAAUGGGCGCAAGCCUGACCCAGCAACGCCGCGUGAAGGAAGAAGGCUUUCGGGUUGUAAACUUCUUUUUAGAGGGAAGAGCAGAAGACGGUACCUCUUGAAUAAGCCACGGCUAACUACGUACCAGCAGCCGCGGUAAUACGUGGGUGGCAAGCGUUGUCCGGUUUUACUGGGUGAAAGGGACGUGCAGCCGGGAAGACAAGUCAGAUGUGAAAUCCGGCGGCUAAACCGCGGAACUGAAUUUAAAACUGUUUUUCUUGAUUACCGUAGAGUACAUCGGAAUUCCUGGUGUAGCGGUGAAAUGCGUAGAUAUAAGGAAGAACACCAGUGGCGAAGGCGGAUGACAGGACGGCAACUGACGGUGAGGCGCGAAGGCGUGGGGAGCAAACAGGAUUAGAUACCCGAGUAGU
Molecule: ribosomal RNA, 441 nt
Filed under: uncultured bacterium
Lineage: Bacteria
Description: partial 16S ribosomal RNA
Rfam family: Bacterial small subunit ribosomal RNA
Source: RNAcentral